Molecule: ribosomal RNA, 382 nt
Filed under: uncultured bacterium
Lineage: Bacteria
Description: bacterial SSU rRNA
Rfam family: Bacterial small subunit ribosomal RNA
Source: RNAcentral
AUUAAACGCUGGCGGCAUGCCUUACACAUGCAAGUCGAACGGCAGCACGGGGGCAACCCUGGUGGCGAGUGGCGGACGGGUGAGUAAAGCAUCGGAACGUAUCCUGGAGUGGGGGAUAACGUAGCGAAAGUUACGCUAAUACCGCAUAUUCUGUGAGCAGGAAAGCAGGGGAUCGCAAGACCUUGCGCUCUGGGAGCGGCCGAUGUCGGAUUAGCUAGUUGGUGGGGUAAAGGCCUACCAAGGCGACGAUCCGUAGCGGGUCUGAGAGGAUGAUCCGCCACACUGGGACUGAGACACGGCCCAGACUCCUACGGGAGGCAGCAGUGGGGAAUUUUGGACAAUGGGCGGAAGCCUGAUCCAGCCAUGCCGCGUGAGUGAAGAA